UGAUAAGGCCUGCACCUGGUGGGGA
This 25-nucleotide non-coding RNA is filed under the name Mus musculus (house mouse). Lineage: Eukaryota; Metazoa; Chordata; Mammalia; Rodentia; Muridae. The record is from RNAcentral.